This 237-nucleotide unclassified non-coding RNA is filed under the name uncultured fungus. RNAcentral describes it as "sequence contains ITS1". The record is from RNAcentral. Lineage: Eukaryota; Fungi.
CGACCACUAUGGUCAGAUUAAGUAAGUUUUUGUGCCUCAUUGGAUGUUGAUCGGAAUAAAGGUUCAACUUUUGAAGGAAAUUCCGAUUAAUAGAAUGAGGUUAAACAUGAAAUUUUACUUUAUCCCCUUAUUCAUUUGUUUAAAUGCUAUGGCCGGGCCUCGUGAACAAGCCUUUAAACUACAUAAUCGUUUAACGGGAGUUCCACCCAAACCGGCAGUCUUGCAGCUGAUGGAAGA